RNAcentral lists this ribosomal RNA (1053 nucleotides) under Batophila aerata. Its description in RNAcentral is "16S ribosomal RNA". The stretch from base 843 to 1001 matches the Rfam family "Archaeal large subunit ribosomal RNA", at positions 2542 to 2701 of the family's 2987-position model. Lineage: Eukaryota; Metazoa; Arthropoda; Insecta; Coleoptera; Chrysomelidae. The record is from RNAcentral.
CUCGAAUUUAAAAGAGCUAAAAGUUUAUUAUUGUUAGUGUGGAAUAAUUAAAAUUAAAUAAAUUUUUAGUAGUGAAAUGUUAUUCGUUUUUAAAUAUAUCUAGUUUUUUAAGAAAAAAAUUUAAUUUUAAUAUUUUAAAUAUAAAUUUUUAUAUUUAAUUUAUAUUAAAAAUGUUAAAUAUUUUUAGGGAUGAGCUUAAAAAUAUAAUUUUAUUAAAUAAUAAUUAUAAUUUAUUUUUUAGGAUUAAAAAUUUUCAUAAUAAAGUUUGUUAUAAUUUAAUUAGAGUUAGUAUUAUUUUUAUUAUUUAUAAAUUUUUUAUUAAAAAUUAUUUUAUAAUUUUAUUAAAAUUAGAAAUAAUGGUAAAAUUAGUAUAAGUUUUAUUAUAAAAAUAUUUAAAUUUUAAAGGUUAUUUAAAGGAAUUCGGCAAAUCUAUUUUUCGCCUGUUUAAUAAAAACAUGUCUUUUUGUAAAAAAUUUAAAGUCGGGCCUGCCCACUGAAAAAGACUUAAAUGGCCGCGGUAUUUUGACCGUGCUAAGGUAGCAUAAUCAUUAGUUUUUUAAUUGGAAGCUGGAAUGAAGGGUUUGAUGAAAAAAUAACUGUCUCUAAAUAAUUUUAUUAGAAUUUUAUUUUUAAGUUAAAAAGCUUAAAUAUUUUUAAAAGACGAGAAGACCCUAUAGAGUUUAAUAAAAAAAUUAAAUUUUAAAUUCAGAAUUUAGUUUAAUAUUAGAUUAAUUUAUUAAGUUGGGGUGAUUUAAAAAUUUGAUAAACUUUUUUUAUAUUAUUAUAUUAAUUAAUAAAUUUUUGAUCCAAUUAUAUUGAUUAUAAGAAAAAAUUACCUUAGGGAUAACAGCGUAAUCUUAUUAGAGAGAUCAAAUUGAAAAUAAGGGUUGCGACCUCGAUGUUGGAUUAAAAUUUAUAUUUGGUGUAGAGGCUAAAUAAUUAGGUCUGUUCGACUUUUAAAAUUUUACAUGAUCUGAGUUUAAACCGGUGUAAGCCAGGUUGGUUUCUAUCUUUAAUUUAUUAUUAUAUUUUAGUACGAAAGGACCAUUUAUA